AGAAAUAACAUGUCUGUUGAAAAAGGAUUUAUGGACGACAGGCUGCCCAAUCCACCAGCCAUUGGAGACACUGGAGGAGUCUUAAUAUUCAAAUCCCAAAGGGGAUAGAUUCUAAGAUGGCACCUGUGCUCCUGUCUGCUGAGGUCUCAGGCAGGGGAGGACCCAGAGGCUCAGAGGCAAGAUGUCGAAGAGAAAUAAAAGGCUCAGAAGUGGAAGAAUGAGCUUAGAGAUGAAAGAUUUGGUUCAAGUUCUAGCUCCUCCACGAUGUGACCUUGAAGCACGAGCCACAAAGCAAUUUGGACAGGAAUGGACGGACUGAUGGAAUCAUAGCAAAGAAGCAAAGACUGUCGAAUGAGUCCAAAGGGGAUGCUGCCACAGCAUGGCUUGAUGAGUGGUGUGUAGGUCUGCGCCCGGGAUCUGAACCCAUGAACCCUGGGCCGCCAAAGUGGAGCACACGAAGUUAACCACCAUGCCACCAGCCUGGCCCUCAGUUCGAGUUUUUAACCUUAGAAUUUCUUUUUGUUCUGUUUUAUAAUUUCAAUAAUUUUUU
Molecule: long non-coding RNA, 550 nt
Filed under: Equus caballus (horse)
Lineage: Eukaryota; Metazoa; Chordata; Mammalia; Perissodactyla; Equidae
Description: lncRNA (ENSECAG00000035917.3)
Source: RNAcentral